RNAcentral lists this transfer RNA (73 nucleotides) under Camelus bactrianus (Bactrian camel). It matches the Rfam family "tRNA". Rfam says of the family: Transfer RNA (tRNA) molecules are approximately 80 nucleotides in length. Their secondary structure includes four short double-helical elements and three loops (D, anti-codon, and T loops). Further hydrogen bonds mediate the characteristic L-shaped molecular structure. tRNAs have two regions of fundamental functional importance: the anti-codon, which is responsible for specific mRNA codon recognition, and the 3' end, to which the tRNAs corresponding amino acid is attached (by aminoacyl-tRNA synthetases). tRNAs cope with the degeneracy of the genetic code in two manners: having more than one tRNA (with a specific anti-codon) for a particular amino acid; and 'wobble' base-pairing, i.e. permitting non-standard base-pairing at the 3rd anti-codon position. Lineage: Eukaryota; Metazoa; Chordata; Mammalia; Artiodactyla; Camelidae. The record is from Rfam by way of RNAcentral. RNAcentral also lists the same sequence under 2 other names.
GACGGUAUAGCUCAGUGGUUAGAGCACGUGCUUAGCAUGCACAAGGUCCUGGAUUCAAUCCCCAGCACCUCCA